Molecule: ribosomal RNA, 500 nt
Filed under: uncultured bacterium
Lineage: Bacteria
Description: partial 16S ribosomal RNA
Rfam family: Bacterial small subunit ribosomal RNA
Source: RNAcentral
GAUGAACGCUGGCGGAAUGCUUUACACAUGCAAGUCGAACGGCAGCACGGACUUCGGUCUGGUGGAGAGUGGCGAACGGGUGAGUAAUACAUCGGAACGUGCCCAGUCGUGGGGGAUAACGUAGCGAAAGCUACGCUAAUACCGCAUACGAGCUAAGGAUGAAAGCGGGGGAUCGCAAGACCUAGCGCGCGUGGAGCGGACGAUGGCAGAUUAGGUAGUUGGUAGGGUAAAGGCCUACCAAGCAGACGAUCUGUAGCUGGUCUGAGAGGAUGAUCAGCCACACUGGGACUGAGACACGGCCCAGACUCCUACGGGAGGCAGCAGUGGGGAAUUUUGGACAAUGGGCGAAAGCCUGAUCCAGCCAUUCCGCGUGCAGGAUGAAGGCCUUCGGGUUGUAAACUGCUUUUGUACAGAACGAAAAGGCUCUGGUUAAUACCCGGGGCUCAUGACGGUACUGUAAGAAUAAGCACCGGCUAACCCUGUGCCAGCAGCCGCCGUAA